UUGUGCAUACCGAAGAAGAAUGGGGGAUCGGAUUUUAGGGACCUUCACAGUUUCAAUUUUGCUGUGUUAGCAAGGCAGUGUUGGCGACUAAUCUAGAACCCACACUCUUUAAGUGCACAAGUGCUUCAAGAUAAAUACACUCCGGAUGAUAACAUUCUAAAUGCGGGCCCAAAGAAGGGAUCUUCAUUUAUGUGGCAGAGUAUAGUAGCAGGUAUACAGACUUUCAAAGGCAAUGUUGGCAGAUGGUUAAGGGAGUUUCAGUCCAAUCAGUGGAGAAAACGACAAUAUCUAUUCGAGUUCUAG
RNAcentral lists this ribosomal RNA (303 nucleotides) under Triticum aestivum (bread wheat). RNAcentral's name for it is "partial small subunit ribosomal RNA". Lineage: Eukaryota; Viridiplantae; Streptophyta; Magnoliopsida; Poales; Poaceae. The record is from RNAcentral.